UGGGCAUUCAAAUAAUGAGUACUUUUCGGUGAAAAGGAGUUUCUUGUUCAUCUAUGUUAUUCUAGAGCAUUGUUUGUGUGGGGAAAAAAUGAAUUUUUCUAUGAAGAAGAGUCUCUUUUGAACACUCUACAGGCUUUGAAACUACUACGGCAAAGACUUCUUUUUAAUCUUAGAAAACUUAUCUAGUUCUUCAUUUAAUUUUUUUUUGUAUGAA
This 214-nucleotide long non-coding RNA is filed under the name Elaeis guineensis (African oil palm). RNAcentral describes it as "long non-coding RNA (EGUI_LNC016509)". Lineage: Eukaryota; Viridiplantae; Streptophyta; Magnoliopsida; Arecales; Arecaceae. The record is from RNAcentral.